UUGCUUUCAAAUUUACCUACAUAGUUACUACAUUUGUGAAUUUAUUGUCUGCAGGUUCUUCAUGAUCCCUAAGAUUACUAGAAAUUCCAUCCUCACCAGCUAUAGAGGAAUAUCAAAGUGAGAUAAUAACUGAAUGUACACAAACAUGUAUUGAAGAAGGACAAGUGUAUCAGGACAAGAAAACACUAGCUGCUGCAAUGAAG
This 203-nucleotide long non-coding RNA is filed under the name Nicotiana benthamiana. Its description in RNAcentral is "long non-coding RNA (NBEN_LNC000113)". Lineage: Eukaryota; Viridiplantae; Streptophyta; Magnoliopsida; Solanales; Solanaceae. The record is from RNAcentral.